This 886-nucleotide non-coding RNA is filed under the name Trichomonas vaginalis G3. RNAcentral's name for it is "Eukaryotic small subunit ribosomal RNA". It matches the Rfam family "Eukaryotic small subunit ribosomal RNA", at positions 883 to 1831 of the family's 1831-position model. Lineage: Eukaryota; Parabasalia; Trichomonadida; Trichomonadidae. The record is from Rfam by way of RNAcentral.
CGGGGGUAGAUCUAUCUCAUGACGAGUGGUGGAAUACUUUGACUCAUGAGAGAGAAGCUGAGGCGAAGGCGUCUACCUAGAGGGUUUCUGUCGAUCAAGGGCGAGAGUAGGAGUAUCCAACAGGAUUAGAGACCCUGGUAGUUCCUACCUUAAACGAUGCCGACAGGAGUUUGUCAUUUGUUAAUGGCAGAAUCUUUGGAGAAAUCAUAGUUCUUGGGCUCUGGGGGAACUACGACCGCAAGGCUGAAACUUGAAGGAAUUGACGGAAGGGCACACCAGGGGUGGAGCCUGUGGCUUAAUUUGAAUCAACACGGGGAAACUUACCAGGACCAGAUGUUUUUUAUGACUGACAGGCUUCGGGUCUUUCAGGAUAUUGUUUUUGGUGGUGCAUGGCCGUUGGUGGUGCGUGGGUUGACCUGUCUAGCGUUGAUUCAGCUAACGAGCGAGAUUAUCGCCAAUUAUUUACUUUGCCGAAGUCCUUCGGUUAAAGUUCUAAUUGGGACUCCCUGCGAUUUUAGCAGGUGGAAGAGGGUAGCAAUAACAGGUCCGUGAUGCCCUUUAGAUGCUCUGGGCUGCACGCGUGCUACAAUGUUAGGAUCAAUAGGACUGCGAGCCUGAGAGGGUGCGCUACUCUUAUAAUCCCUAACGUAGUUGGGAUUGACGUUUGUAAUCAGCGUCAUGAACCAGGAAUCCCUUGUAAAUGUGUGUCAACAACGCACGUUGAAUACGUCCCUGCCCUUUGUACACACCGCCCGUCGCUCCUACCGAUUGGAUGACUCGGUGAAAUCACCGGAUGCUUACGAGCAGAAAGUGAUUAAAUCACGUUAUCUAGAGGAAGGAGAAGUCGUAACAGGUAACGGUAGGUGAACCUGCCGUUGGAUCAGUU